UACGUAGGUGGCAAGCGUUGUCCGGAUUUACUGGGCGUAAAGAGCGCGCAGGCGGUCGUUCAAGUCGCGUGUGAAAGCCCCCGGCUCAACUGGGGAGGGUCACGCGAUACUGAUCGACUCGAAGGCAGGAGAGGGUGGUGGAAUUCCCGGUGUAGUGGUGAAAUGCGUAGAGAUGUGGAGGAACACCAGUGGCGAAGGCGACUCUUUGGCCUGUAACUGACGCUGAGGCGCGAAAGCGUGGGGAGCAAACAGG
RNAcentral lists this ribosomal RNA (253 nucleotides) under uncultured bacterium. Its description in RNAcentral is "partial 16S ribosomal RNA". It matches the Rfam family "Bacterial small subunit ribosomal RNA", at positions 524 to 776 of the family's 1533-position model. The record is from RNAcentral.